Molecule: long non-coding RNA, 390 nt
Filed under: Homo sapiens (human)
Lineage: Eukaryota; Metazoa; Chordata; Mammalia; Primates; Hominidae
Description: non-protein coding lnc-ALDH1A2-9:10
Source: RNAcentral
AAAGGUUGCAUCAGCCCUUUAGCCAUUACCUGCCUCUUGAUGAAGCGUCAGAGCAGGUGUGCAUACACCUGCCAGCACAGAAAAACCUUAACGUAAAGUUGAAUACAAAAAGAAAGAGUCAAAGGUCAGAGAGGAGGGAGAAGGCUGUGCUAAACAAGGUGCUGGCAGUGUCAGGAGCUGGCCUCCUGCCUUCUGGGUUGAGAGAUAUCGAAUGCUGCUUUGCCAAGAGCUGCUUUCUUGAGCCCCUCCAAGGUUCUCCUAUUUGGACUCUGCUGCAGAUCCCUUGCCCUGGUCAGCAGCUACUUAAUCAGAAAGAUCAACUCAACAUUUUCCCUUGACCCAAUUAGAUUAUCGAAUCUCCAAUAAACGUCAUCUGUUAUCUCUGGAAUC